RNAcentral lists this ribosomal RNA (801 nucleotides) under uncultured Methylibium sp. Its description in RNAcentral is "bacterial SSU rRNA". It matches the Rfam family "Bacterial small subunit ribosomal RNA", at positions 8 to 809 of the family's 1533-position model. Lineage: Bacteria; Pseudomonadati; Pseudomonadota; Betaproteobacteria; Burkholderiales; Sphaerotilaceae. The record is from RNAcentral.
AGAGAUCAUGGCUCAGAUUGAACGCUGGCGGCAUGCCUUACACAUGCAAGUCGAACGGCAGCACGGGAGCAAUCCUGGUGGCGAGUGGCGAACGGGUGAGUAAUACAUCGGAACGUGCCCAGUAGUGGGGGAUAGCCCGGCGAAAGCCGGAUUAAUACCGCAUACGACCUACGGGUGAAAGCGGGGGAUCGCAAGACCUCGCGCUAUCGGAGCGGCCGAUGUCAGAUUAGCUAGUUGGUGGGGUAAAAGCCUACCAAGGCGACGAUCUGUAGCUGGUCUGAGAGGACGACCAGCCACACUGGGACUGAGACACGGCCCAGACUCCUACGGGAGGCAGCAGUGGGGAAUUUUGGACAAUGGGCGCAAGCCUGAUCCAGCCAUGCCGCGUGCGGGAAGAAGGCCUUCGGGUUGUAAACCGCUUUUGUCAGGGAAGAAACGCUCAGAGCUAAUACCUCGGAGUAGUGACGGUACCUGAAGAAUAAGCACCGGCUAACUACGUGCCAGCAGCCGCGGUAAUACGUAGGGUGCAAGCGUUAAUCGGAAUUACUGGGCGUAAAGCGUGCGCAGGCGGCUUUGCAAGACAGAUGUGAAAUCCCGGGGCUUAACCUGGGAACUGCAUUUGUGACUGCAUGGCUGGAGUGCGGCAGAGGGGGAUGGAAUUCCGCGUGUAGCAGUGAAAUGCGUAGAUAUGCGGAGGAACACCGAUGGGGCAAGGCCAUCCCCUGGGCCUGCACUGACGCUCAUGCACGAAAGCGUGGGAGCAAACAGGAUUACAUACCUGGGUAGUCCACGCCCUAACGA